GGAGAACUGAGGGGGGCUGCUCCUAGUACGAGAGGACCGGAGUGGACGCAUCACUGGUGUUCGGGUUGUCAUGCCAAUGGCACUGCCCGGUAGCUAAAUGCGGAAGAGAUAAGUGCUGAAAGCAUCUAAGCACGAAACUUGCCCCGAGAUGAGUUCUCCCUGAGACUUURGGUCUCCUGAAGGAACGUUGAAGACGACGACGUUGAUAGGCCGGGUGUGUAAGCGCAGCGAUGCGUUGAGCUAACCGGUACUAAUGAACCGUGAGGCUUAACCUUACAACGCCGAAG
This 287-nucleotide ribosomal RNA is filed under the name Salmonella enterica subsp. enterica serovar Minnesota. RNAcentral describes it as "partial 23S ribosomal RNA". It matches the Rfam family "Bacterial large subunit ribosomal RNA", at positions 2656 to 2925 of the family's 2925-position model. The record is from RNAcentral. Lineage: Bacteria; Pseudomonadati; Pseudomonadota; Gammaproteobacteria; Enterobacterales; Enterobacteriaceae.